Molecule: long non-coding RNA, 598 nt
Organism: Amyelois transitella
Lineage: Eukaryota; Metazoa; Arthropoda; Insecta; Lepidoptera; Pyralidae
Exons: 3
Source: RefSeq, a predicted model, not a curated record
AGUGCUGUCAGAAAAAUUAUUAAUCGAUAAUUGUUUUUGUGGAUCUAUCGACCGAGUAACAACACUAUCGGAAUAACAUUUGUGUUCAAAAUGAAUUUUGAAGGUUUAUUUUUUAUUUUGGUCACGUUGUGUUUCGUGGAGGCUGUUAGUGAUAACGAAGUGACAGAAAUAGAGACGGCACGAGGCAAAGGGAAAUACGCUUUGCUCACCAACCUAGCAAUAUUGCUGGCGACCAAAUUGGGACUAUACAAGUUAGUUCUAGGCAUAGCCCUGGUAAUUGCCAGUGUGAAAAUUCUGGUCAUCAUGGCGUGGGCAUUGGCCAUUUCGAAACACGUGCCAAACGCAUGGCCGAGUCACAAUAAUGAUGAACAUUCACAUCACUAUUAUCACGAAAAAUUUGAGCAGCCCAUCCCUAGUUCUGUAACAGAUUGGAUGGCUGGUUUCCUUAAAUUUUGAAGUAGUACACUUCUUCUACGUAGUGGCGACUAAAGUUUUCGUCCUUAAAAUUAUAUACGGGAUAAUAUUCUACGUUUUGCUCACUAAAGGAUGGCAUUUCGUUCUUUGGUUCAUCCAUUACCUGAAAGAGAAGAAACAUGAG